Molecule: ribosomal RNA, 251 nt
Filed under: uncultured bacterium
Lineage: Bacteria
Description: partial 16S ribosomal RNA
Rfam family: Bacterial small subunit ribosomal RNA
Source: RNAcentral
UACGUAGGUCCCGAGCGUUGUCCGGAUUUAUUGGGCGUAAAGCGAGCGCAGGUGGUUUAUUAAGUCUGGUGUAAAAGGCAGUGGCUAACCAUUGUAUGCAUUGGAAACUGGUAGACUUGAGUGCAGGAGAGGAGAGUGGAAUUCCAUGUGUAGCGGUGAAAUGCGUAGAUAUAUGGAGGAACACCGGUGGCGAAAGCGGCUCUCUGGCCUGUAACUGACACUGAGGCUCGAAAGCGUGGGGAGCAAACAGG